This 440-nucleotide ribosomal RNA is filed under the name uncultured bacterium. Its description in RNAcentral is "partial 16S ribosomal RNA". It matches the Rfam family "Bacterial small subunit ribosomal RNA", at positions 338 to 795 of the family's 1533-position model. The record is from RNAcentral.
CCUACGGGAGGCAGCAGUGGGGGAUAUUGCACAAUGGGGGAAACCCUGAUGCAGCGACGCCGCGUGGGUGAAGAAGCGCCUCGGCGCGUAAAGCCCUGUCAGCAGGGAAGAAAAUGACGGUACCUGAAGAAGAAGCCCCGGCUAACUACGUGCCAGCAGCCGCGGUAAUACGUAGGGGGCAAGCGUUAUCCGGAUUUACUGGGUGUAAAGGGGGCGCAGACGGCGAUGCAAGCCAGGAGUGAAAGCCCGGGGCCCAACCCCGGGACUGCUCGUGGAACUGCGUGGCUAGAGUGCAGGAGGGGCAGGCGGAAUUCCUGGUGUAGCGGUGAAAUGCGUAGAUAGCAGGAGGAACACCGGUGGCGAAGGCGGCCUGCUGGACUGCAACUGACGUUGAGGCCCGAAAGCGUGGGGAGCAAACAGGAUUAGAUACCCCAGUAGUC